This 253-nucleotide ribosomal RNA is filed under the name uncultured bacterium. RNAcentral's name for it is "partial 16S ribosomal RNA". It matches the Rfam family "Bacterial small subunit ribosomal RNA", at positions 524 to 776 of the family's 1533-position model. The record is from RNAcentral.
UACAGAGGGGGCAAGCGUUGUCCGGAUUUAUUGGGUUUAAAGGGUGCGUAGGUGGCCUUAUAAGUCAGCGGUGAAAGUCUGCAGCUUAACUGUAGAACUGCCAUUGAUACUGUAAGGCUUGAGUACUGAUGAGGUAGGCGGAAUUGAUAGUGUAGCGGUGAAAUGCAUAGAUAUUAUCAAGAACACCGAUUGCGAAGGCAGCUUACUAAGGAGUUACUGACACUGAGGCACGAAAGCGUGGGGAUCAAACAGG